RNAcentral lists this unclassified non-coding RNA (373 nucleotides) under uncultured Bacteroidota bacterium. RNAcentral describes it as "uncultured Bacteroidetes bacterium contains 16S-23S intergenic spacer region". Lineage: Bacteria; Pseudomonadati; Bacteroidota. The record is from RNAcentral.
UCACUGCUUGCGCAGGCAGUUUCGUUAGAGUCCCCGACAUAACUCGCUGGUAACUAACGACAAGGGUUGCGUUCGUUGCGGGACUUAACCCAACAUCUCACGACACGAACUGACGACAGCCAUGCAGCACCUCACUACGGGUCCGAAGAAGACUCCCUUUCAGGAGCUGUCCCGUAGCGUUCGAGCCUGGGUAAGGUUCUUCGCGUUGCAUCGAAUUAAUCCACAUGCUCCACCGCUUGUGCGGGCCCCCGUCAAUUCCUUUGAGUUUCAUUCUUGCGAACGUACUCCCCAGGUGGAAUGCUUAACGCGUUAGCUUAGGCACUAUCCCCCGAAGGGAUAACACCGAGCAUUCAUAGUUUACGGCGUGGACUAC